AUAAAAUUUUUAUUAGAA
This 18-nucleotide transfer RNA is filed under the name Graeffea sp. GRA1. Its description in RNAcentral is "partial tRNA-Leu". The record is from RNAcentral. Lineage: Eukaryota; Metazoa; Arthropoda; Insecta; Phasmatodea; Phasmatidae.